This 659-nucleotide long non-coding RNA is filed under the name Callithrix jacchus (white-tufted-ear marmoset). RNAcentral describes it as "lncRNA (ENSCJAG00000082884.1)". The record is from RNAcentral. Lineage: Eukaryota; Metazoa; Chordata; Mammalia; Primates; Cebidae.
UUUAACUCAGGUAUUUUAUCUCUCAUAGAGAGAUGUUAUGCUGCUCUUAAGCCAAAACCUGACCACAGCUGAAAAACAGCAACUCUGCAGGCAGCAGGCUAGUCAAGUGAAGCAAUGGGAAUGGAGAAGGAACAAAUAAAUCUGUAACUGGUGAUAAUCAAGCAAUUGUAAACACUACUGCACUUGCACCAGCCUUGUUCUCUGUUUUUGUCACAGUCGAUAUGGCUGAGGCUGGAGUGCAGUGGUCUAAGGAAAAAGGACGUGCUGUGGUCAAGAAUAGGCCAAGGCAGAACCAGUACAGCGUGACUCAGUAAGUUUGGAGCACAGGCGCAAAAUCCACUUGUUAUGUAACCACACCAUGUGAGGUGCAUUAUGUGAUUACCCACGAAAGUUUGUGCUUGGCUUGGAGACCCUAUUGUCUGUAAAAGGCAUAACUACCCUUCUGACACUGUACAUAUGACUCACUCACACUUAGAGGAAGAGUAAAGCCAUAUCAAACUGUCUACACUUACUCAAGUGCUUUCCCAGCUACCCAUCACCCUUCAGAUGUCAAUUUGGGCUAGAACCUGACAUCCAAACAGGAUCCUGGGGUGAGUCAGCCUUUGGUCCCCGCUGAUUUUGAGUCUGCCGUGUGGCUGCAGCAUGGGCUGUGGUACCCG